CUUACUACUAUGUGUCAAGCACUGUUUUAAAGUGCUAUAUAUCUGGCAGAAGCUUUUAGGGUACACAUUUGCCAGAGUGAUUAGUUCCAGUGGAGGAAACCAUUUAAAUGAGGGCAGGGAUGGGAUCGUGGGGAAACAGGGAAAGAACAUUAGAGGAGCAGUGAAACACCUUGAAUCCAUCAAAAUCUUUGAGAGAGAAGCAUAGGAAUCAGGCUGGAUUUUCAAUAUGGAGGUGACUCUUUCCAUCACGUGCAGGGUAUCGGAUUGGGGGAGAUAUGGAGAACUAAUUCCUCGAGGAUUCCAAUGAGAUUUCUUUUGAAAUCCAUUCAGAGACUAUGGCAAAUCUUCUGUGAAAUCCCCAAACACCAUGGGGCUCCUCAUUUAGAGAACACAACAACUGUUAAUUCUUUUGCCAGCAACAGUUUCACGGGGACAUUUUGAGGAAACCAACCAACGUGACGUGCAGAGUUUAAACUCUCCCAGAACUUAGUACAGUGCCUGACACAUAGUAAGCGCUUACAAAAGUGUUCUUUGUUUUUGUUAUUAUUAAAAUCCUCUUACUUACAAAAGAGCAGAGUGCAUCUUACAAUAAUGGUUUGAGAAAACAUUGCACCACCUCACUCGAUUCACCACAUGAGGGCAUUAUCAUCCAGUCACAACCCAUUUCUUCCAUAUUCAAAGGAUGUCUGUUGUCAGACAAACAAUUUUACCUUUACCUCUUCCUUGGGUGUCACUGAGAGAGGAUACUGAGAGAGCAGAGAUCAGUUGACCAUGGUCUUCCCUCCAGGCUGUGUACUUGUGAUCUUAUUGGUUUUGGGGCAGACGGAUGGAGACUCGGUGGAUCAGACGAAAGGCAGCAUAGCCCUUGUUGAAGGGAAAGAGCUCCUUCUCAACUGUACUUACGUAAUUAGCACCUCUUUGCCUUAUCUUUUCUGGUACAUCCAGUUGCCCUGGGAAGGCCCUCAGCUCCUCCUGAAACACACGUCUGGGAAAGAACAGGAAGUAACUGGAAAUUAUUUUUAUGCCAAACUCAAUAAAACUGAGAAGUCUUUCCACCUGAGGAAACAAGCCAUCACCGUGGGAGACUCGGCCAUGUACUACUGUGCUGUGAGUGACACAGUGACGGGGGCUGCAGGGGGAGCUGUACAUAAACCCCUGAUGGACCCAGCAGCCACCAGCUGGAAGCAGAGUUGCCUUCUCUCCCGCAUCCACAGACACACACCAGGCCUGGGGUCAUCUCCAAGGAGCUGGGAAACUCCAGGCCCUGAUGGUCCAUCAGAGACCAGCUGGAGUCAUCUCCAGUUUACACAUUUCUUGUCCUGCAUUCUCCUCCCCAGCUCUUUCUCUCCUUCAAUGCCCUCAUCCCUUCCUCUCUCAAUCAGACGGAUGCACUCAACAUGGCCAGUGGAUGGAAAAGGCUGGAGGAUUUUGUGACCAGUGGCCACCUGUACAUGGGAUCCCCAUGAAGAUAAGGACCAGGAUCUCGGAUCCUCUGAAGUGCUUCUCCCCAUCCUUUCCUUCUCUGAAAAUCUUUUCUCUGGAAGAUUUCCCUCCUCUCCCUGAUUUCAGCACACCAUUUGAUCCAACAUGGGGAAAUACCCCAAGAACUGUAGCAUCCGUGCUGGGAUGAAGUUGGUGAAAGAGCAGCCAGAAUGUAGAGGCUGGAGGAUUGAAAAAGGAUUGAAUGCUCAGCAUCCAAUCAGUAAUUAGAUUGCUCCUUGGCUGCCUGGAUAGACCCAUCAGUAACCAAACAAACCUUAUAGUUGGCAAACCAGUAAUACCACCUGGAAAACCAAAACGUAUGCAUUUACCCCAAUUUUCUCCUCAGUCAGUCUGAAAGUCAGCCCAUAGGUCCAUCUUUAUAAAAGACAAAAAACAGACUGUUUCUGUCCCAGAGGAGACACCAAUCAAACUAGAAACGGAGGUCUUGAAGCACUUAGUACAGUGUUUUUCACACAGUAAGCACCCAAUGAAUACAAGGGAAUGAAAAGAAAAAUUCAAUUCUACAGAUGAGAAUAGGCAUCAAAUACCUAAAACAGAAACACAAAAGAAAUAUGUUUUUAAUAGUAUUUGUUAAGUGCUUACUACUAUGCAUCAAGCACUGUUUUAAAGUGCUAUAUAUCUGGCAGAAGCUUUUAGGCCACUCAGUUGCCAGAGUGAUUAGUUCCAGUGGAGGAAACCAUUUAAAUGAGGGCAGGGAUGGGAUCGUGGGGAAACAGGGAAAGAACAUUAGAGGAGCAGUGAAACACCUUGAAUCCCUCCAGAUCCUUGAGAGAGAAGCAUAGGAAUCAGGCUGGAUUUUCAAUAUGGAGGUGACCCUUUCCAUCACGUGCAGGCUAUCAGAGUGGGGGAGAUAUGGAGAACUAAUUCCUCGAGGAUUCCAAUGAGAUUUUUUUUGAAAUCCAUUCAGAAACUAUGGCAAAUCUUCUGUGAAAUCCCCAAACACCAUGGGGCUCCUCAUUUAGAGAACACAACAACUAAUUCUUUUGCCAGCAUCAGUUUCACGGGAACGUUUUGAGGAAACCAACCAACGUGACGUGCAGAGUUUAAACUCUCCCAGAACCUAGUACAGUGCCUGACACAUAGUAAGUGCUUACAAAAGUGUUCUUGUUUUUGUUAUUAUUAUAAUCCUCUUACUUCAAAAGAGCAGAGUGCAUCUUACAGGAAUGGUUUGAGAAAACAUUGCACCACCUCACUCGAUUCACCACUUGAGGGCAUUAUCAUCCAGUCACAACCCAUUUCUUCCAUAUUCAAAGGAUGUCUGUUGUCAGACAAACAAUUUUACCUUUACCUCUUCCUUGGGUGACACAGAGAGAGGAUACUGAGAGAGCAGAGAUCAGUUGACCAUGGUCUUCCCUCCAGGCUAUGUACUUGUGAUCUUAUUGGUUUUGGGGCAGACGGAUGGAGACUCGGUGGAUCAGACGAAAGGCAGCAUAGCCCUUGUUGAAGGGAAAGAGCUCCUUCUCAACUGUACUUACGUAACUAGCGCUUCUUUGCCUUAUCUUUUCUGGUACAUCCAGUUGCCCUGGGAAGGCCCUCAGCUCCUCCUGAAAACCACAUUUGGGAACGAACAGAAGGUAACUGGAAAUGAUUUUUAUGCCAAACUCAAUAAAACUGAGAAGUCUUUCCACCUGAGGAAACAAGCCAUCACCGUGGGAGACUCGGCCAUGUACUACUGUGCUGUGAGUGACACAGUGACGGGGGCUGCAUAGAGAGCUGUACAUAAACCCCUGAUAGACCCAGCAGCCACCAGCUGGAAGCAGAGUUUCCUUCUCUCCCUCAUCCACAGACAUACACCAGCCCUGGGGUCAACUCCAAGGAGCUGGGAAACUCCAGGCCCUGAUGGUCCAUCAGAGACCAGCUGGAGUCAUCUCCAGUUUACACAUUUCUUUCCUUGCAUUCUCCUCCCCUGCUCUUUCUGUCCUUCAGUGCCCUCAUCCCUUCCUCUCUCAAUCAGACGGAUGCACUCAUCAUGGCCAGUGGAUGGAAAAGGCUGGAGGAUUUUGUGACCAGUGGCCACCUGUACAUGGGAUCCCCAUGAAGAUAAGGACCAGCAUCUCGGAUCCUCUGAAAUGCUUCUCCCCAUCCUUCCCUUCUCUGAAAAUCUUUUCUUUGGAAGAUUUCCCUCCUCUCCCUGAUUUCAGCACACCAUUUGAUCCAACACGGGGAAAUACCCCAAGAACUGUAGCAUCUGUGCUGGGAUGAAGUUGGUGAAAGAGCAGCCAGAAUGUAGAGGCUGGAGGAGGGAAAUAGGAUUGAAUGCUCAGCAUCCAAUCAGAAAUUAGAUUGCUCCUUGGCUGCCUGGAUAGACCCAUCAGUAACCAAACAAACCUUAUAGUUGGCAAACCAGAAAUACCACCUGGAAAACCAAAACGUAUGCGUUUACCCCAAUUUUCUCCUCAGUUAGUCAGUCUGAAAGUCAACCCAUAGGUCCAUCUUUAUAAAAGACAAAAAACAGACUGUUUCUGUCCCAGAGGAGACUCCAAUCAAAUAAGAAACGGAGGUCUUGAAGCACUUAGUACAGUGCUUUUCAUACGGACGUCUGUUGUUGGCCAAACAUUUUUACCUUUACCUCUUCCCUGGGUGUCACUGAGAGAGGAUACUGAGAGAGCAGAGAUCAGUUGACCAUGGUCUUCCCUCCAGGCUGUGUACUUGUGAUCUUAUUGGUUUUGGGGCAGACGGAUGGAGACUCGGUGGAUCAGACGGAAGGCAGCAUAGCCCUUGUUGAAGGGAAAGAGCUCUUUCUCAACUGUACUUAUGUAACUAGCGCCUCUUUGCCUAAUCUUUUCUGGUACAUACAGUUGCCCGGGGAAGGCCCUCAGCUCCUCCUGAAACACACGUCUGGGAAAGAACAGGAAGAAACUGGAAAUGAUUUUUAUGCCAAACUCAAUACAACUGAGAAGUCUUUCCACCUGAGGAAACAAGCCAUCACCGUGGGAGACUCGGCCAUGUACUACUGUGCUGUGCAUGACACAGUGACGGGAGCUGCAAGGGGAGCUGUACAUAAACCCCUGAUAGACCCAGCAGCCACCAGCUGGAUUCAGAGUUUCCUUCUCUCCUUCAUCCACAGACAUAAAACAGCCCUGGGGUCAUCUCCAAGGAGCUGGGAAUCUCCAGGCCCUGAUGGUCCAUCAGUGACCAGCUGGGGUCAUCUCCAGUUUCCACAUUUCUUUCCUUGCAUUCUCCUCCCCUGCUCUUUCUGUCCUUCAAUGCCCUCAUCCCUUCCUCUCUCAAUCAGACUGAUGCACUCAACAUGGCCAGUGGAUGGAAAAGGCUGGAGGAUUUUGUGACCAGUGGCCACCUGUACAUGGGAUCCCCAUGAAGAUAAGGACCAGGAUCUCGGAUCCUCUGAAAUGCUUCUCCCCAUCCUUCUCUUCUCUGAAAAUCUUUUCUCUGGAAGAUUUCCCUCCUCUCCCUGAUUUCAUCACACCAUAGAUCCAACACAGAGAAAUAACCCAAGACCUGUAGCAUCUGUGCUGGGAUGAGGUUGGAGAAAGAGCAGCCAGAAUGUAGAGGCUGGAGGAGGGAAAAAGGAUUGAAUGCUCAGCAUCCAAUCAGAAAUCAGAUUACUCCUUGGUAGCCUGAUAGACCCAUCAGUAACCAAACAAACCUCAGUGUUGGCAAACCAGAAUACCACCUAGAAAUCCAAAACCUAUGAGUUUACCCCACUUUUCUCCUCAGUCAGUCAGUCUGAAAGUCAGUCAGUCUAUUAGUCCAUCUUUAAUAAAGACAAAAACCAGACUAUUUCUGUCCCAGAGGAGACUCCAUUCAAACAAGAAACGGAGGUCUUGAAGCACUCAGUACAGUGCUUUUCACACAGUAAGCAACCAAUGAAUAUGACUGAAUAAAAAGAGAAAUUCAAUUCUACAAAUGAAAAUAGGCAUCAAAUACCUAAAAGAGAAACAAAAAAGAAAUAUGUUUUUAAUAGUAUUUGUUAAGUGCUUACUACUAUGUGUCAAGCACUGUUUUAAAGUGUUGUAUAUCUGGCAGAAGCUUUUAGGCCACUCAUUUGCAGGAGUGCUUAGUUCCAGUGGAGGAGACCAUUUAAAUGAGGACAGGGAUGGAAUCGUGGGGGAAGAGGGAAAGGACAUUAGAGGGACAGUGAAACACCUGGGAACCACCAAAAGUCUUUGAGAGAGAAGCAUAGGAAUCGGGCUGGAUUUUCAAUAUUGAGGUGAUUCUUUCCUUCACGUGCAGGCUGUCGGACUGGGGGAGAUUUGGAGAACUAAUUCCUCGAGGAUUCCAAUGAAAUUUAUUUUGAACUCCGUUCAGAGGCUAUGGCAAAUCUUCUGUGAAAUCCUCAAACACCAUGGGGCUCCUCAUUUAAAGAACACAACAACUGUUAAAUCUUUCACCAGCAUCAGUUCCACGGGGAUGUUUUGAGAACAUCAACCAAUGCGAUAUACAGAGUGUAAACUAUCCCAGAACUUAGUACAGUGCCUGACACAUAGUAAGCGCUUACAAAAGUAUUCUUGUUUUUGUUAUUAUUAUAAUCCUCUUACUUACAAAAGAGCAGAGUGCAUCUUACAGGAAUGGUUUGAGAAAACAUUGCACCACCUCACUCGAUUCACCACAUGAGGGCAUUAUCAUCCAGUCACAACCCAUUUCUUCCAUAUUCAAAGGAUGUCUGUUGUCGGACUAACAAUUUUAUCUUUACCUCUUCCCUGGGUGUUACAGAGAGAGGAUACUGAGAGAGCAGAGAUCAGUUGACCAUGGUCUUCUCUCCAGGCUUUGUACUUGUGAUCUUAUUGGUUUCGGGGCAGACGGAUGGAGACUCAGUGGAUCAGACGAAAGGCAGCAUAACCCUUGAUGAAGGGAAAAAGCUCCUUCUCAACUGUACUUACGUAAUUAGCACCUCUAUGCCUAGUCUUUUCUGGUACAUCCUGUUGCCCGGGGAAGGCCCUCAACUUCUCCUGAAAACCAUAUCUGGGAACGAGCAGAAUGUAACUGGAAAUGAUUUUUAUGCCAAACUCAAUAAAACUGAGAAGUCUUUCCACCUGAGGAAACAAGCCAUCACCGUGGGAGACUCGGCCAUGUACUACUGUGCUGUGAGUGACACAGUGAUGGGGGCUGCAGGGGGAGCUGUACAUAAACCCCUGAUAGACCCAGCAGCCACCAGCUGGAAGCAGAGUUUCCUUCUCUCCCUCAUCCAUAGACACACACCAGCCCUGGGGUCUGUCUCCAAAGAAAUGGGAAACUCCAGGCCCUGAGGGUCCAUCAGAGAUCAGCUGGGGUCAUCUGCAGUUUCCACAUUUCUUGUCCUGCAUUCUCCUCCCCUGCUCUUUCUGUCCUUCAGUGCCCUCAUCCUUUCCUCUCUCAAUCAGACUGAUGCACUCAAUAUGGCCAGUGGAUGGAAAAGGCUGGAGGAUUUUGUGACCAGUGGCCACUUGCACAUGGGAUCCCCAUGAAGAUAAUAAUGUUAGUAUUUGUUAAGCGCUUACUAUGU
Ornithorhynchus anatinus (platypus) is the source of this 6946-nucleotide long non-coding RNA. RefSeq lists it as uncharacterized. The transcript has 6 exons. NCBI's taxonomy places the organism in Eukaryota, Metazoa, Chordata, Mammalia, Monotremata, Ornithorhynchidae. The record is from RefSeq and is a predicted model, not a curated record.